GGACCAUCAUGUCGGUCUUGCCUCGGUACGUACUGGCAUCGUUGGUUUCUCCCUUCUGACGAACCAUGAUGUCAUUUAUUUGGUGUUUUGGGGAAUUUGGACUGUUACUUUGAAAAAAUUAGAGUGUUUAAAGCAGGCUUAUUAGGCUUGAAUACAUUAGCAUGGAAUAAUGAAAUAGGACGAUUGAUCCUAUUUUUGUUGGUUUCUAGGAUUGACGUA
RNAcentral lists this ribosomal RNA (219 nucleotides) under Campeiostachys nutans. RNAcentral's name for it is "Elymus nutans partial small subunit ribosomal RNA". The stretch from base 37 to 219 matches the Rfam family "Eukaryotic small subunit ribosomal RNA", at positions 684 to 864 of the family's 1831-position model. The record is from RNAcentral. Lineage: Eukaryota; Viridiplantae; Streptophyta; Magnoliopsida; Poales; Poaceae.